ACGGGUGAGUAACACGUGGGCAAUCUGCCCUUCACUCUGGGACAAGCCCUGGAAACGGGGUCUAAUACCGGAUAACACUCUGUCCCGCAUGGGACGGGGUUAAAAGCUCCGGCGGUGAAGGAUGAGCCCGCGGCCUAUCAGCUUGUUGGUGGGGUAAUGGCCUACCAAGGCGACGACGGGUAGCCGGCCUGAGAGGGCGACCGGCCACACUGGGACUGAGACACGGCCCAGACUCCUACGGGAGGCAGCAGUGGGGAAUAUUGCACAAUGGGCGAAAGCCUGAUGCAGCGACGCCGCGUGAGGGAUGACGGCCUUCGGGUUGUAAACCUCUUUCAGCAGGGAAGAAGCGAAAGUGACGGUACCUGCAGAAGAAGCGCCGGCUAACUACGUGCCAGCAGCCGCGGUAAUACGUAGGGCGCAAGCGUUGUCCGGAAUUAUUGGGCGUAAAGAGCUCGUAGGCGGCUUGUCACGUCGGAUGUGAAAGCCCGGG
Molecule: ribosomal RNA, 490 nt
Filed under: Streptomyces sp.
Lineage: Bacteria; Bacillati; Actinomycetota; Actinomycetes; Kitasatosporales; Streptomycetaceae
Description: bacterial SSU rRNA
Rfam family: Bacterial small subunit ribosomal RNA
Source: RNAcentral